RNAcentral lists this ribosomal RNA (2471 nucleotides) under Listeria monocytogenes. Its description in RNAcentral is "partial 23S ribosomal RNA". It matches the Rfam family "Bacterial large subunit ribosomal RNA", at positions 1 to 2464 of the family's 2925-position model. Lineage: Bacteria; Bacillati; Bacillota; Bacilli; Caryophanales; Listeriaceae. The record is from RNAcentral.
GGUUAAGUUAGAAAGGGCGCACGGUGGAUGCCUUGGCACUAGGAGCCGAAGAAGGACGGGACUAACACCGAUAUGCUUUGGGGAGCUGUACGUAAGCGUUGAUCCAGAGAUUUCCGAAUGGGGGAACCCACUAUCUUUAGUCGGAUAGUAUCCUUACGUGAAUACAUAGCGUGAGGAAGGCAGACCCAGGGAACUGAAACAUCUAAGUACCUGGAGGAAGAGAAAGAAAAAUCGAUUUCCUGAGUAGCGGCGAGCGAAACGGAAAGAGCCCAAACCAAGAAGCUUGCUUCUUGGGGUUGUAGGACACUCUAUACGGAGUUACAAAAGAAAGUUAUAAAUGAAGCGGUCUGGAAAGGCCCGCCAAAGACGGUAACAGCCCGGUAGUUGAAAUGGCUUUCCCUCCAGAGUGGAUCCUGAGUACGGCGGAACACGUGAAAUUCCGUCGGAAUCCGGGAGGACCAUCUCCCAAGGCUAAAUACUCCCUAGUGACCGAUAGUGAACCAGUACCGUGAGGGAAAGGUGAAAAGCACCCCGGAAGGGGAGUGAAACAGUUCCUGAAACCGUGUGCCUACAAGUAGUUAGAGCCCGUUAAUGGGUGAUAGCGUGCCUUUUGUAGAAUGAACCGGCGAGUUACGAUUUGUUGCAAGGUUAAGCGGAAAAAGCGGAGCCGUAGCGAAAGCGAGUCUGAAUAGGGCGCAUAAGUAACAGGUCGUAGACCCGAAACCAGGUGAUCUACCCAUGUCCAGGAUGAAGGUAAGGUAAUACUUACUGGAGGUCCGAACCCACGCACGUUGAAAAGUGCGGGGAUGAGGUGUGGGUAGCGGAGAAAUUCCAAUCGAACUUGGAGAUAGCUGGUUCUCUCCGAAAUAGCUUUAGGGCUAGCCUCGAGGUAAAGAGUCAUGGAGGUAGAGCACUGUUUGGACUAGGGGCCCUUCUCGGGUUACCGAAUUCAGAUAAACUCCGAAUGCCAUGUACUUAUACUCGGGAGUCAGACUGCGAGUGAUAAGAUCCGUAGUCGAAAGGGAAACAGCCCAGACCACCAGUUAAGGUCCCCAAAUAUAUGUUAAGUGGAAAAGGAUGUGGGGUUGCUUAGACAACCAGGAUGUUGGCUUAGAAGCAGCCACCAUUGAAAGAGUGCGUAAUAGCUCACUGGUCGAGUGACCCCGCGCCGAAAAUGUACCGGGGCUAAACAUAUUACCGAAACUGUGGAUGAACCUCUUUAGAGGUUCGUGGUAGGAGAGCGUUCUAAGGGCGGUGAAGUCAGACCGGAAGGACUGGUGGAGCGCUUAGAAGUGAGAAUGCCGGUAUGAGUAGCGAAAGAAGGGUGAGAAUCCCUUCCACCGAAUAUCUAAGGUUUCCUGAGGAAGGCUCGUCCGCUCAGGGUUAGUCGGGACCUAAGCCGAGGCCGAUAGGCGUAGGCGAUGGACAACAGGUAGAGAUUCCUGUACCAGUGCUAAUUGUUUAACCGAUGGGGUGACACAGAAGGAUAGGGAAUCGCACGAAUGGAAAUGUGCGUCCAAGCAGUGAGUGUGAGAAGUAGGCAAAUCCGCUUCUCGCGAAGCAUGAGCUGUGAUGGGGAAGGAAAUUAAGUACGGAAGUUCCUGAUUUCACGCUGUCAAGAAAAGCCUCUAGGAAGAGUAGUACUGCCCGUACCGCAAACCGACACAGGUAGAUGAGGAGAGAAUCCUAAGGUGAGCGAGAGAACUCUCGUUAAGGAACUCGGCAAAAUGACCCCGUAACUUCGGGAGAAGGGGUGCUCUAUUAGGGUGCAAGCCCGAGAGAGCCGCAGUGAAUAGGCCCAGGCGACUGUUUAGCAAAAACACAGGUCUCUGCAAAACCGUAAGGUGACGUAUAGGGGCUGACGCCUGCCCGGUGCUGGAAGGUUAAGAGGAGUGCUUAGCUUCGGCGAAGGUACGAAUUGAAGCCCCAGUAAACGGCGGCCGUAACUAUAACGGUCCUAAGGUAGCGAAAUUCCUUGUCGGGUAAGUUCCGACCCGCACGAAAGGCGCAACGAUCUGGGCACUGUCUCAACGAGAGACUCGGUGAAAUUAUAGUACCUGUGAAGAUGCAGGUUACCCGCGACAGGACGGAAAGACCCCGUGGAGCUUUACUGCAACCUGAUAUGGAAUGUUUGUACCGCUUGUACAGGAUAGGUAGGAGCCGAAGAGACGUGUGCGCUAGCAUACGAGGAGGCAAUGGUGGGAUACUACCCUGGCUGUAUGACCAUUCUAACCCGCCACGCUUAGCGCGUGGGGAGACAGUGUCAGGUGGGCAGUUUGACUGGGGCGGUCGCCUCCUAAAGAGUAACGGAGGCGCCCAAAGGUUCCCUCAGAAUGGAUGGAAAUCAUUCGCAGAGUGUAAAGGCACAAGGGAGCUUGACUGCGAGACUGACAAGUCGAGCAGGGACGAAAGUCGGGCUUAGUGAUCCGGUGGUUCCGCAUGGAAGGGCCAUCGCUCAACGGAUAAAAGCU